AGCAUAUCAGUAAGCGGAGGAAAAGAAACUAACAAGGAUUCCCUUAGUAACGGCGAGUGAACAGGGAAAAGCCCAUGCAUGAAUCCCGCAGAGUUAAUCUGUUGGGAAAUGUAGCGUAUGGGUACUCUUAUUGCCUAGCACGGCUGUCUGCAAAUUCACAUGAUUGUGAUUCCCAUUGAGGGUGUAAGGCCCGUAAUGGUCAGCUGUUGCUAGUCUUUAGAGUAUUCUUGAGUCGGGUUGUUUGUGAUUGCAGCCCAAAUUAGGUGGUAAACUCCAUCUAAGGCUAAAUAUAACACUAGUCCGAUAGCAAACAAGUACCGUGAGGGAAAGUUGAAAAGAACUUUGAAGAGAGAGUUCAAUAGUACGUGAAAUUGCUCAGAGGUAAACGAGUGGAGCCGAAAGUGGCGUGAUGGUGUAUAUCUGUGUUUUGCGGAUGGUUGCUUAGUUAAGCCCUUUACGGCUGAAUGAGUAGCUUUUCUUGUGAAGCAUGGGUUAUUCUUCCUCACGCCUAAACCACGAACAAUGCUUUAGGGCACUGUCAUUUUAGACAAGGUAGCGCUUCUCCUUCGGGUUAAGUGUGUUUAGGUCUGAAGUACGGUCGUCUUGAAGUAUUGGGUUAUGCGACACAAGCCAUUUACGGCGCAUAUGUUGUCCCUACUUGGGUAUGUUGUGGUAGACUCCUUUAAAGAGAUUGCCAUGAUAAUGCUUAGGUAGGUGAGGCGACCUCUAUGUAUUGUGUCUAUAUUCUGUGGUUAAUAUAGUAGGUAGUCCACUCGACCCGUCUUGAAACACGGACCAAGGAGUUUAGCUCAUGCGCAAGUCAAUGAGUCGUACGAAACUCAAAGGCGAAGUGAAAGUAAAGAUCCAUUUAUUGGGUUGAGGUGAGAUCUGUAGGCUAUCCGUUUCAGGAUGUCUGCAGCGCAUCACCGGCUCGUCCUACUCUUUAAAAGCGGGGCGAAGCAAGAGCGCAUGGGCUGAGACCCGAAAGAUGGUGAUCUAUGCUUGUGUAGGCUGAAGCCAGGGGAAACUCUGGUGGAAGGCCGUAGCGGUUCUGACGUGCAAAUCGAUCGUCAAACAUGAGUAUAGGGGCGAAAGACUAAUCGAACCAUCUAGUAGCUGGUUCCAGGCGAAGUUUCCCUCAGGAUAGCUUGGGUUACAUAACAGUUUUAUCUGGUAAAGCAAAUGAUUAGAGGUACUGGGGAAGUAAAUUCCUCAACCUAUUCUCAAACUUUAAAUGGGUAAGAUGUCAAACUCGCUUAAUUGUAGUUUGACAUCGAAUGUUAGCCCAAAGUGGGCCAUUUUUGGUAAGCAGAACUGGCGCUGUGGGAUGAACCAAACGCGAAGAUAAGGUGCCAAACGUAACGCUUAUCAGACACCACAAAAGGUGUUGGUUGAUCUAGACAGCAGGACGGUGGCCAUGGAAGUUGGAAUCCGCUAAGGAGUGUGUAACAACUCACCUGCCGAAUCAACCAGCCCUGAAAAUGGAUGGCGCUGGAGCGUUAGACCUAUACUUCGCUGUAAUGAUAUUUGCCAAGGAUGUCAUUACAAGUAGCCUGGUGACGUGGUAAGCAUUGAAGCUGCGGUUGUAAAACCGGGUGGAGCUGCCAUGUGUACAGAUCUUGGUGGUAGUAGCAAUUAUUCAAGUGAGAACCUUUGAA
Molecule: ribosomal RNA, 1658 nt
Filed under: Canetellia beauchampi
Lineage: Eukaryota; Metazoa; Platyhelminthes; Rhabdocoela; Provorticidae
Description: eukaryotic LSU rRNA
Rfam family: Eukaryotic large subunit ribosomal RNA
Source: RNAcentral